Molecule: long non-coding RNA, 3354 nt
Organism: Ictalurus punctatus (channel catfish)
Lineage: Eukaryota; Metazoa; Chordata; Actinopteri; Siluriformes; Ictaluridae
Source: Ensembl
GUCUCUCUCUCUCUCUCUCUCUUCUCUGUCUCUCUCUCUCUCUCUCUCUCUCUCUCUCUCUCUCUGUCUCUCUCUCUCUCUCUCUCUCUCUCUGUCUCUGUCUCUCCUCUCUCUCUCUCUCUGUCUCUCUCUCUCUCUCUGUCUCUCUCUCUCUCUGUCUCUCUCUCUCUCUCUCUCUCUGUCUCUCUCUCUCAGUGGUGGGAUCCACUCCUGUUCUCUCUUUAACUGGAGCAGGAGGAGGACAGAUAAACGUUAGCUGUCAGUCACAUGGGUGGCUUCCUGAGCCGUCAAUCACCUGGACAGAUAAAGAGGGGAGAGAUCUGAAACAUCUGAGCAAAGACAAGUUCAGCAACAGUUCUGAAGGGGUUGUGGAUGUGUCCUCGUGGCUGAUUGUGUCUCCCUCGGAGUCUGAGUGGAUCUCCUGCUCUGUGGGUUUGUCUGAUCAGGAGAGAAAAGAAGGCAGAAUAAUGUUAUUCGUCCCUGCAGGUGUCACGGAGUCGUGGAGUGGAUACUUCAUUGUGAUUCCCAUCCUUCUUCUUCUUCUUCUUCUUCUGCUGUGUGCUGCCGGAAUUACAGUGUAUCGUAAAAAAGGUGUGAUACAAAAGUUGACUCUAAUAAUAAUAUAUGAACCAGGAGAAUGAAUAUAAAAUCCAAAUCCAGUCUAAAACUGUAGACUGACUCCAACAAAAAGGUUGGUCUGGUAGACAGACACACGCAUGGAGAUCAGAACAUUGUUACGUGUAACAGUACGGGGUCCUGAUGGUGCAUCACCAAAGAAGACAGUGUAAAGCGCUUUGGAUAAAAGCACUAUAUAAGUAAGCCAUUUACCAUAAACACCUGCAAGAUGAGGGCUGGAGCAGGUGUUUAAAUGCCUCACUUAUAUAGUGCUUUUAUCCAAAGCGCUUUACACUGUGUCUCAUUCACACAGCAAUAGUAGCAGAGCUGCACUGCAAGGCAGUGACUUGCCAUCGGGAGCAACUCGGGGUUCAGCGUCGUGCCCAAGGACACUUCAGCAUGUGGAGUCACAUGGGCCAGGAAUCGAACCGCCAACCCUACAAUUAGUGGACGACCCGCUCAACCACCUGAGCCACAGCCGCCCUGUUUUUAGGAAGUCUUUAGCGAGACUUUAGCGGGUCUUUAAGGGGUCUUUAACGGGUCUUUAGCAGGUCUUUGGGCUGCCUAAUUCAGGAGCGUUUUCUCUUUGUUGUAGGUCUGAUUUUUCUCCAAGAGAAAAGGGACAGAAUAUACAGAAGGAACUCCAUCAGAAACUGCACCUCUGAGUAACAUCUGUAUGGAGAGUCAGGAUCAGAAUGAUGCUCCAUCUAUAAUUCCUCAUUCUGUGGUUGUAGAUAUAGAUCAACCUUCUGAGCAAAGGGAAAAAACGCCACCAGCUCCAUGUCCAGAUCUCAAUCAGCAGAAAUCAUCUGAACAGCAGAAUCCUGAAGAAGUGAAAGAAACCCCACACGUUGCAGAAUCCAGAGAAGAGGACCCAGGAUCCUGCUCCUCCUCACCAGGGUUCUCCACUGCUGGUUCAACCACUGAUAAACCAAACUUCACUCCCACCACCUCAAAUCCCACACCUGCUGCUACCAUCUCAGAGUCUGCCACUGUCUCCACAACAUCUGCAGGAAGUUUCAGCUCAGCCAAUAAACAUCCUACCAAAAAUGCUGAAAGAAAAAGAAAAAACACCAAAGGGAGAAAGAACAAAGACAGAGCAAAUGAAACAGAAAGCUCUUUUAACAAAGCUAAAGCAAGAGAAAUCAGUACCAGGACAUUUAACAUGGAAAGCAAAGCAGACUGCUCUGAGUCCAAGCAUCUCUGUAAGCAAGAAGCAGUAGAGAGUGAAGAUUUGGUCCAAGUGAAAAAAUUCAAAGUGAACAUCACCAUCGACGGAGAGGAAACUCCAGAGUUCCUGACACACGAGGAAAGGAGGUGAAGUGCUCCACUCCAGUGAAUACAUGGGACAGAAAUCCUGAUGAUGAUAAAAUCUUCACUCUGUGUAAAGAGAAGUUUCACUGUGGUAAACGUUAUUGGGAGGUGAAAGUGAGAGCGUCACAUAAAGAAGAGAAACUGUCCUGGUUCGUUGGUGUAGCGAGUGAUGCAGCUGAGAGAAAGUACAGCGUCCCGUUUACACCACACAAUGAACUCUGGGUUCUCUGCUAUGAAAGAGAAACAGGGCUUUAUAUCGGAGACGAAACAGAACGCAUUUCAGUCCCAGACGUUAAUAAAGAGCUCACAGCAGUGGGAGUGUUUUUAGACUGUGAUAAACACACACUGUCAUUUUAUAAUAUUGAUACACAAUCACACAUCUACACUUUCACUAACGUGGAGCCCAAAACACCUCUGCGUCCUCUGAUCAGCCCCGGAGUCCGAGACAGUCAUCCUGUACGCAUUCUUUAGUAAAGUAAUCUUAUCUGUAUUUCUAUCAUUUGUGAUUAUGAAGUGUACGUAACACAUUCACAACAUCUUCCAUCUCUGAAUAGUGAAAUGAUUCCUCACAGCUGUAAAUACGCUCCUUUAGUACGGCUUACUGUAGUUAGAAAAUACAUUUUUAUGAUAUCGUUACUGAUAUGACAAUAAAGUGUGGACAUGUAAGUUUGCUGCUUUACUGUCGGUUUUCUGUUUUGCUUUGAACUUUGUGAAUGAUUUCAUUAAAAUGGAACAAAUUUUAUAUAUAUAUAUAAAAAAGAGACAUUGCUGUAAUUUCUUGUUUUGUGUGUAAAGUAAGUAGAAGAUGACUGUGGCAGGUUUAACACUUUUAUUAACACAAACUGCAGUAGUUCGUCAGAAUUCAUAUUAUACAUUUCUGUAUAAAGUAUCAUUUGGUUUUGAAAUUCUGAUAUUUAACAGAACUUUAAACACGCAGUAGAGAUGUAUAAUCUGCACUUUAAUCUAGUACAAUAACACAAAGGCCUAAAUAAUCAGAUAUGGCACAUACUAUUAGACUGUCUUGUGCUUCUUUAAUAAUAGAUGUAAUAUAUAAGGAAUAAACAGUGUGCGUUUGUACAGUAAAAUGAUGAAGCACUGUCACGAUUUCAAGGCAGAGACGGAUACCAGUGCAGAUUUACUUUUAAUUAAUAGCACAACAAAACAAGAACUAUAAACACGAUGCAAAACACUGAGGCAAAGACUAAACAUAAACCAAAGACCUUAAACACAGCAGCAUAGACAACGGCAAAGGAAAACAAACGUCAGAUACAGAGUGCAGUGUAAACUGUGCUAUACACAGGAGUGCUUGUUAACAAGAAUGUGAUUCAGGUGCAGGUGGUCACGUGACUGUGAUGCAGUGAGGUGCAGUGGCUGCUGGGAACUGUAGUUCAGAGUUCCUUCUCUAAUACAUGACACAGACUUACA